AGUGAACGCUGGCGGUAGGCCUAACACAUGCAAGUCGAACGGCAGCACAGUAAGAGCUUGCUCUUACGGGUGGCGAGUGGCGGACGGGUGAGGAAUACAUCGGAAUCUACUUUUUCGUGGGGGAUAAUGUAGGGAAACUUACGCUAAUACCGCAUACGACCUACGGGUGAAAGCAGGGGAUCUUCGGACCUUGCGCGAUUGAAUGAGCCGAUGUCGGAUUAGCUAGUUGGCGGGGUAAAGGCCCACCAAGGCGACGAUCCGUAGCUGGUCUGAGAGGAUGAUCAGCCACACUGGAACUGAGAAACGGUCCAGACUCCUACGGGAGGCGGCAGUGGGGAAUAUUGGACAAUGGGCGCAAGCCUGAUCCAGCCAUACCGCGUGGGUGAAGAAGGCCUUCGGGUUGUAAAGCCCUUUUGUUGGGAAAGAAAAGCAGCAGGUUAAUACCCCGCUGUUCUGACGGUACCCAAAGAAUAAGCACCGGCUAACUUCGUG
Molecule: ribosomal RNA, 492 nt
Filed under: uncultured bacterium
Lineage: Bacteria
Description: partial 16S ribosomal RNA
Rfam family: Bacterial small subunit ribosomal RNA
Source: RNAcentral